AACGAACGCUGGCGGCAUGCCUAACACAUGCAAGUCGAACGAGACCUUCGGGUCUAGUGGCGCACGGGUGCGUAACGCGUGGGAACCUGCCCUUAGGUUCGGAAUAACUCCCCGAAAGGGGUGCUAAUACCGGAUAAUGUCUUCGGACCAAAGAUUUAUCGCCUUUGGAUGGGCCCGCGUUGGAUUAGCUAGUUGGUAGGGUAAAAGCCUAUCAAGGCGACGAUCCAUAGCUGGUCUGAGAGGAUGAUCAGCCACACUGAGACUGAGACACGGCCCAGACUCCUACGGGAGGGAGCAGAGGGGGAUAUAGGACAGUAGGCGAAGGCAUGAUCCAGCAAUGCCGCGUGAGUGAUGAAGGCCGUAGGGUUGUAAAGCUCUUUUACCCGGGAUGAUAAUGACAGUACCGGGAGAAUAAGCACCGGCUAACUCCGUG
This 433-nucleotide ribosomal RNA is filed under the name uncultured bacterium. RNAcentral describes it as "partial 16S ribosomal RNA". It matches the Rfam family "Bacterial small subunit ribosomal RNA", at positions 29 to 507 of the family's 1533-position model. The record is from RNAcentral.